CACCCGUAGCACAAGGACAGUGCGCCCGGUCUCCAAAACCGGGAGGUGUCGGUUCGAGCCCGACCGGGUGUG
Molecule: transfer RNA, 72 nt
Filed under: Mycobacteroides abscessus subsp. abscessus
Lineage: Bacteria; Bacillati; Actinomycetota; Actinomycetes; Mycobacteriales; Mycobacteriaceae
Description: tRNA-Trp
Rfam family: tRNA
About the family: Transfer RNA (tRNA) molecules are approximately 80 nucleotides in length. Their secondary structure includes four short double-helical elements and three loops (D, anti-codon, and T loops).
Source: RNAcentral